This is a non-coding RNA of Pelobates cultripes (western spadefoot toad), 113 nucleotides long. NCBI's taxonomy places the organism in Eukaryota, Metazoa, Chordata, Amphibia, Anura, Pelobatidae. The record is from the annotation of a GenBank genome assembly.
GCACGCUGAGUGUGCACUUCCUGUCAGUCCGGCCGGUUACAGGAAACAGAAACUCCAGUUCCGUGCGGAGUUUCUGUUUCCUGUAACUGGCCGGACUGACAGGAAGUGCACAC